AGUAAUGUCUGGGAAACUGCCUGAUGGAGGGGGAUAACUGCUGGAAACGGUAGCUAAUACCGCAUAACGUCGCAAAACCAAAGUGGGGGACCUUCGGGCCUCAUGCCAUCAGAUGUGCCCAGAUGGGAUUAGCUAGUAGGUGGGGUAACGGCUCACCUAGGCGACGAUCCCUAGCUGGUCUGAGAGGAUGACCAGCCACACUGGAACUGAGACACGGUCCAG
RNAcentral lists this ribosomal RNA (222 nucleotides) under uncultured bacterium. RNAcentral's name for it is "partial 16S ribosomal RNA". It matches the Rfam family "Bacterial small subunit ribosomal RNA", at positions 109 to 334 of the family's 1533-position model. The record is from RNAcentral.